RNAcentral lists this ribosomal RNA (468 nucleotides) under uncultured bacterium. Its description in RNAcentral is "partial 16S ribosomal RNA". It matches the Rfam family "Bacterial small subunit ribosomal RNA", at positions 28 to 507 of the family's 1533-position model. The record is from RNAcentral.
GACGAACGCUGGCGGCGUGCUUAACACAUGCAAGUCGAACGGAAAGGCCCUGCUUUUGUGGGGUGCUCGAGUGGCGAACGGGUGAGUAACACGUGAGUAACCUGCCCUUGACUUUGGGAUAACUUCAGGAAACUGGGGCUAAUACCGGAUAGGAGCUCCUGCUGCAUGGUGGGGGUUGGAAAGUUUCGGCGGUUGGGGAUGGACUCGCGGCUUAUCAGCUUGUUGGUGGGGUAGUGGCUUACCAAGGCUUUGACGGGUAGCCGGCCUGAGAGGGUGACCGGCCACAUUGGGACUGAGGUACGGCCCAGACUCCUACGGGAGGCAGCAGUGGGGAAGAUUGCACAAUGGGCGGAAGCCUGAUGCAGCAACGCCGCGUGCGGGAUGACGGCCUUCGGGUUGUAAACCGCUUUCGCCUGUGACGAAGCGUGAGUGACGGUAAUGGGUAAAGAAGCACCGGCUAACUACGUG